This is a long non-coding RNA of Populus nigra (black poplar), 287 nucleotides long. RefSeq lists it as uncharacterized. The transcript has 2 exons. The record is from RefSeq and is a predicted model, not a curated record. NCBI's taxonomy places the organism in Eukaryota, Viridiplantae, Streptophyta, Magnoliopsida, Malpighiales, Salicaceae.
AAAAGGAUGAGAGGGCAUGUAGUUGUGGGAUUGAGAGAUUAAAAAGCAUGGAUAAGGUAAAAUUAUAUAUGAAAAACAUGUUUUGUUGGUGAUUAAAAGAGUUAAAGCAAGGGUUUUGAAAACCAGCGUGAGAAAGAAAGAAUUGAACAAAGGAAGGAGGCUUGAAGAAAGCUUGAUUUCUUUUGCAAUUUAUUUGUGAUUUCAUGUGUUUAGAAGAGUUUCCCAUAUUCUCAACCGCCCCACCGUUUCCACCCGCAACAGUCAUAACUAAUCUUGCUAUACCAAAA